GGUCGAGCUACAAAGGGCUCACGGCGGAUACCUUGGCACACAGAGGCGAUGAAGGACGUGGUUACCUGCGAUAAGUCUCGGGGAGCUGGAAACACGCUUUGAUCCGGGAAUUUCCGAAUGGGGCAACCCCUAGAACGGCCAGCUGAAUCUAUAGGCUGGCGCGAGCCAACCCAGCGAACUGAAACAUCUUAGUAGCUGGAGGAAAGGAAAGUAAAAACGACUCCCUA
Molecule: ribosomal RNA, 227 nt
Filed under: uncultured Synechococcus sp.
Lineage: Bacteria; Bacillati; Cyanobacteriota; Cyanophyceae; Synechococcales; Synechococcaceae
Description: partial 23S ribosomal RNA
Rfam family: Bacterial large subunit ribosomal RNA
Source: RNAcentral